UACAGAGGGGGCAAGCGUUGUUCGGAAUUACUGGGCGUAAAGGGCGCGUAGGUGGCCUUCUAAGUUGAACGUGAAAUCCCUGGGCUCAACCCAGGAACUGCGUCCAAGACUGGGAGGCUCGAAUCCGGGAGAGGGAUGCGGAAUUCCAGGUGUAGCGGUGAAAUGCGUAGAUAUCUGGAGGAACACCGGUGGCGAAGGCGGCAUCCUGGACCGGGAUUGACACUGAGGCGCGAAAGCCAGGGGAGCAAACGGG
RNAcentral lists this ribosomal RNA (253 nucleotides) under uncultured bacterium. Its description in RNAcentral is "partial 16S ribosomal RNA". It matches the Rfam family "Bacterial small subunit ribosomal RNA", at positions 524 to 776 of the family's 1533-position model. The record is from RNAcentral.